RNAcentral lists this ribosomal RNA (910 nucleotides) under uncultured bacterium. RNAcentral describes it as "bacterial SSU rRNA". It matches the Rfam family "Bacterial small subunit ribosomal RNA", at positions 33 to 912 of the family's 1533-position model. The record is from RNAcentral.
ACGCUGGCGGCGUGCUUAACACAUGCAAGUCGAACGAAGAGCGAUGGAAGCUUGCUUCUAUCAAUCUUAGUGGCGAACGGGUGAGUAACGCGUAAUCAACCUGCCCUUCAGAGGGGGACAACAGUUGGAAACGACUGCUAAUACCGCAUACGAUCUGACCUCGGCAUCGAGGAUAGAUGAAAGGUGGCCUCUAUUUAUAAGCUAUCACUGAAGGAGGGGAUUGCGUCUGAUUAGCUAGUUGGAGGGGUAACGGCCCACCAAGGCGAUGAUCAGUGGCCGGUCUGAGAGGAUGAACGGCCACAUUGGGACUGAGACACGGCCCAGACCCCUACGGGAGGCAGCAGUGGGGAAUCUUCCGCAAUGGACGAAAGUCUGACGGAGCAACGCCGCGUGAGUGAUGACGGCCUUCGGGUUGUAAAGCUCUGUUAAUCGGGACGAAAGGCCUUCUUGCGAAUAGUUAGAAGGAUUGACGGUACCGGAAUAGAAAGCCACGGCUAACUACGUGCCAGCAGCCGCGGUAAUACGUAGGUGGCAAGCGUUGUCCGGAAUUAUUGGGCGUAAAGCGCGCGCAGGCGGAUUGGUCAGUCUGUCUUAAAAGUUCGGGGCUUAACCCCGUGAUGGGAUGGAAACUGCCAAUCUAGAGUAUCGGAGAGGAAAGUGGAAUUCCUAGUGUAGCGGUGAAAUGCGUAGAUAUUAGGAAGAACACCAGCGGCGAAGGCGACUUUCUGGACGAAAACUGACGCUGAGGCGCGAAAGCCAGGGGAGCGAACGGGAUUAGAUACCCCGGUAGUCCUGGCCGUAAACGAUGGGUACUAGGUGUAGGAGGUAUCGACCCCUUCUGUGCCGGAGUUAACGCAAUAAGUACCCCGCCUGGGGAGUACGACCGCAAGGUUGAAACUCAAAGGAAUUG